RNAcentral lists this ribosomal RNA (303 nucleotides) under uncultured bacterium. RNAcentral's name for it is "partial 16S ribosomal RNA". It matches the Rfam family "Bacterial small subunit ribosomal RNA", at positions 507 to 807 of the family's 1533-position model. The record is from RNAcentral.
AGCAGUAGCCACGGUAAUACGUAGGGUGCAAGCGUUAAUCGGAAUUACUGGGCGUAAAGCGUGCGCAGGCGGUUAUAUAAGACAGAUGUGAAAUCCCCGGGCUCAACCUGGGAACUGCAUUUGUGACUGUAUAGCUAGAGUACGGCAGAGGGGGAUGGAAUUCCGCGUGUAGCAGUGAAAUGCGUAGAUAUGCGGAGGAACACCGAUGGCGAAGGCAAUCCCCUGGGCCUGUACUGACGCUCAUGCACGAAAGCGUGGGGAGCAAACAGGAUUAGAGACCCGUGUAGUCCCUGUCUCUUAUAC